GACGAACGCUGGCGGCGUGCCUAACACAUGCAAGUCGAACGGAAAGGCCCUGCUUUUGUGGGGUGCUCGAGUGGCGAACGGGUGAGUAACACGUGAGUAACCUGCCCUUGACUUUGGGAUAACUUCAGGAAACUGGGGCUAAUACCGGAUAGGAGCUCCUGCUGCAUGGUGGGGGUUGGAAAGUUUCGGCGGUUGGGGAUGGACUCGCGGCUUAUCAGCUUGUUGGUGGGGUAGUGGCUUACCAAGGCUUUGACGGGUAGCCGGCCUGAGAGGGUGACCGGCCACAUUGGGACUGAGAUACGGCCCAGACUCCUACGGGAGGCAGCAGUGGGGAAUAUUGCACAAUGGGCGGAAGCCUGAUGCAGCAACGCCGCGUGCGGGAUGGCGGCCUUCGGGUUGUAAACCGCUUUCGCCUGUGACGAAGCGUGAGUGACGGUAAUGGGUAAAGAAGCACCGGCUAACUACGUG
RNAcentral lists this ribosomal RNA (468 nucleotides) under uncultured bacterium. RNAcentral describes it as "partial 16S ribosomal RNA". It matches the Rfam family "Bacterial small subunit ribosomal RNA", at positions 28 to 507 of the family's 1533-position model. The record is from RNAcentral.